UCAAACUUGGUCAUUUAGAGGAAGUAAAAGUCGUAACAAGGUCUCCGUUGGUGAACCAGCGGAGGGAUCAUUACCGAGUUCUUGGCAACUCCCAACCCUGUGAACCAUACCAAACGUUUUUGUUCUCGUUGCUUCUGGCAGGCGGCCCUCCGGGGCUCGCAGGCUCCGGUGCCACGCCCGGGUGCCUGCCAGGGGCGGCUUGCUCCAACUACUCUUCUUACCUGACCGUCUGAGAACGAUUUUCAUAAAUCAAAUCAAAACUUUCAACAACGGAUCUCUUGGCUCUGGCAUCGAUGAAGAACGCAGC
Molecule: unclassified non-coding RNA, 307 nt
Filed under: uncultured fungus
Lineage: Eukaryota; Fungi
Description: partial contains small subunit ribosomal RNA, internal transcribed spacer 1, and 5.8S ribosomal RNA
Rfam family: Eukaryotic small subunit ribosomal RNA (bases 1-73)
Source: RNAcentral